This 512-nucleotide ribosomal RNA is filed under the name uncultured bacterium. Its description in RNAcentral is "bacterial SSU rRNA". It matches the Rfam family "Bacterial small subunit ribosomal RNA", at positions 34 to 518 of the family's 1533-position model. The record is from RNAcentral.
CGCUGGCGGCGUGCCUAAUACAUGCAAGUCGAACGGCUUUUCUAUGGAAGCUUGCUUCCACUGAGAAGAUAGUGGCGAACGGGUGAGUAACACGUGGGUAACCUGCCCAUAAGAGGGGGAUAACAUCCGGAAACGGGUGCUAAUACCGCAUAGUUUUCUUGAUCGCAUGAUUGAGAAAGGAAAGACGGCCUUUGUGCUGUCGCUUAUGGAUGGACCCGCGGCGUAUUAGUUAGUUGGUGAGGUAACGGCUCACCAAGACGAUGAUACGUAGCCGACCUGAGAGGGUGAUCGGCCACAUUGGGACUGAGACACGGCCCAAACUCCUACGGGAGGCAGCAGUAGGGAAUCUUCCGCAAUGGACGAAAGUCUGACGGAGCAACGCCGCGUGAGUGAAGAAGGUUUUUCCGGAUCGUAAAACUCUGUUGUCAGAGAAGAACAAGUUGGAGAGUAACUGCUCCAGCCUUGACGGUAUCUGACCAGAAAGCCACGGCUAACUACGUGCCAGCAGCUGC